RNAcentral lists this ribosomal RNA (216 nucleotides) under uncultured bacterium. RNAcentral describes it as "partial 16S ribosomal RNA". It matches the Rfam family "Bacterial small subunit ribosomal RNA", at positions 328 to 539 of the family's 1533-position model. The record is from RNAcentral.
ACGCUCGACACCUACGGGGGCAGCAGUGAGGAAUAUUGGUCAAUGGGCGCUAGCCUGAACCAGCCAAGUAGCGUGAAGGAUGAAGGCUCUAUGGGUCGUAAACUUCUUUUAUAUAAGAAUAAAGUGCAGUAUGUAUACUGUUUUGUAUGUAUUAUAUGAAUAAGGAUCGGCUAACUCCGUGCCAACAGCGCGGUAAUCUGAGCGGGCUGGCAAGGC